UCAAAUAAAGAAUUUUCUUUAAAUUUGGUACCUCAGUAGGUUCACUCCACUCGUUCGGUGCACCACAGAGGGAAUGUGUGGGUGAAACGUUCUGCAGUUUUAUUAUUUAUUCUAUAAAUUUCCAGAUCCCACCCUGUAAGUCUAUGAGUGUGUAUAUAUAGAUAAAAAAUAAUGAUAGCCACGUGAAGUAUAAAAUAUAUCUUUAAUAAUUCAAUUGAACGUCUGCACAUACUCUAACGAAUAUAAUAUGUUUGGUUCUCAGAUUUUGUGAAAUACCCAUAAUAUUAUGAUAUUUUGAUUUUCACACUCGUACCUACACCAAAAACUGGUUCGAAAUACAUUUUGGUAUAAUAACUUUGAUAUAAAAUGGAACUCUAGCAUCGCUUUUUAAAACCUACCCCCACGCGAUGAUUGCAGAUCGUGUUCGGAAUAUGGGGGAAUUUUCACUUUAUCACCGCAAUGACCUGAUUUUGGGGACAAAAGCUGUUUUUUUUCGGAGAACUCGAGACGUAUAAAACAUGUAUAAAACAUAAUAUAAUACGACGACGACCCACUCGCGGGCGUGUGUUGCGGUUACCUAUAUAUAUAUUUAUACGUACAUAGUACAUACCUACAACAGCAAAACUCGACCGGCGAUUGGACUCGAACGCGUGAUAUACCUAAUUUCGUUAUGACCGUAACGGAGCGUCUCCUAUACACGGUGAAAUAUAUACACACGUAUCACACAUAGAGUACAACAACAACAAUAAUAAUAUGUAGGCGAUAGUAAUAAUAUAACAUAAUGCGUAGCGUGGAGUGCAGUUUUUUGUUACCGUCGCGACGCUGCGAGUCAUUGUUUCGGAGUGCACAGCAAAAAACUCGGACGUGAGAGAUGAAAAGGGUUAAAGAAUUCUUUUGAAACGUCUCCCAAGACAAUGCAGUCGUCGGAGGUGUACAUAUAUAGGUGUAGGUUGGUGGCUGCAGGUAUAUACCCCACAGUUGCACGCGUCCACGUAAUGUGCGCGGUGAGAAAGGGGUCACUGGGCCACACCGCAAUGUUUAUUGCAGCAGUGUCAUUAUUACGAGGGAGCGACGUUUAAAAAGAAAAAACGAAUAAAUUCGUCUCCAAAAAAACCCGAUUCGGGUGUAAAGAAUACCUAUACUAUUAUGUGGGUCAAGAGAAAACGACAGUCCGCCGUCGUCGUCGACCAAUCGGCGACCGUCUCGCGUUUUUCGUAUAGGUAAACGACGAUCGCGAUGACCAUUAUUAUUACCUAUAUAUACCAUAUUAUUCUCACACGACCUGCAAAGCCCUUCUCGGUCAGCUCACUACCGAUUGUCGCGUAUUCGACAUUUGGAAUUCGAGCGGACCGUUGCUUGCUCCUCUUAGAACGCUAAACCGAUCGUACGUUUACGACACUACAGCCGAACAUAUCAUCGCUGGACCUCCACUCACACGGCACUCUACAUACAACCACACAUCGCCGCACAGCCUGUCGUCGCAGACCCUCCAAAGAUGCCGUCGAAAAAGUGUGAAAUUAUCCGAGGAAUGGUUAUCAUCAAGCGUUAAGGACACUGACAAAAUUGGACUGAUACAAAUAGGGACUCAACCGCACUGGAAUGAGGAAAUUAUCAUAUAAUAUUAUCAUGGAUUGUUGGGAGCACGAACGUCGCGACCUGCAGCUGUACGGCGGAUACCACCGCAGCGACGACACGGAAAUCACGUCAUCAAAAGAUAAUAACAAUAUAAUAAUAAUUAUUAUUAUUAUUGUUAUAUUAUUAUCAUUAUUAUUGCGACCGAUUUGCUGCAAGUCGACGGUGGCGGCGACGGCGUCUUUCCCACUACACUAAUAAUAAUAAUAAUUAUAAUAGUAUUAUGUAGCCGCGCACAAUGAGCAAUAAAAAUUAAUAUCACCGGUUCAAACGGCUCUGUUAAAAUGUCCCGUUUACGACGGCGUUAUCAGUGUUUAAACGGUUGUUAUUACGAGCCAUUUUGUAUACCAUACAUACAUAACAUAAUAAUAUAUUGUUACACAUAUAUAUCACCACCGCGUAUAUAAUAGCUGGUGCGUGUGUGUGUGUGUUUUUAUUUCUAGACUUUAUUAUUUUCUUUACAGCGUACCGUUUAAGAUUAUUACCAUUUUUUUUUUUUUUAUAUUUUUAUUAUUGGUUGUAUACACUUAUUAUUAUUAUUAUUAUUAUAUCUACUACGACCAUAAAUCCCGCGUACAAUGAUUUCAAUACGACUAAUUUUUUUAUAUAUUUUUUAUUGUAUUUUAAACGGACAGGUUUAUCGGUUUACUGCGUUUUUAUUUUUAUGUCUGUGUACAUAAUAUACGUAUUAAAACAGCAUAAUAAUAAUACGACUAUGUGCAAGACGAGAAACAAUAUUCUACACACAUGCACACAACAAAAUAUGACCAAUGUAAUAUUAUAUAAACGCG
RNAcentral lists this long non-coding RNA (2423 nucleotides) under Acyrthosiphon pisum (pea aphid). RNAcentral describes it as "uncharacterized LOC100571319". Lineage: Eukaryota; Metazoa; Arthropoda; Insecta; Hemiptera; Aphididae. The record is from RNAcentral.